Fukomys damarensis (Damara mole-rat) is the source of this 1934-nucleotide long non-coding RNA. RefSeq lists it as uncharacterized. The transcript has 4 exons. Lineage: Eukaryota; Metazoa; Chordata; Mammalia; Rodentia; Bathyergidae. The record is from RefSeq and is a predicted model, not a curated record.
CACAUACUGCCAUAAGAAAACAAAGUUUGAAAAGCCAGUUCCCUUCGGCUUCCUGUUUGGACAUCCAUGUCACAGGAAUACGUGCAGAGCUCGAAUCAGGGUGGAUUGCUAGAACAAGAUUCAGCAAGAAACAGUGCUGCUCUGAACGGCAGCAGAGGUGAGGACUAACCAACUGACCUGAUCCUGGAUGAGGACACCCAGCAGCAGAAGUGAGCAAUCAAACCUUGUAACUAUUGGCAUUAAGUCCAACAGUGCCCUCGAACUUCUGCUUUGUGGUCUGCAGCAGCAGAAACAAUUCCAGCAGCAGGAGCAGAGAAAUACCUUAACUGUUGAAAGCAAAAGCUCCAAAGAUUUCAGACUCCGGUGGAAGAACAAUGAAGAAUGCACAACUCAACACAAAGUCUGAGGUCAACAGCAGCUCCUGCCUGGGAACUCCGCUGAAGAAGAGAACAGGCACUACCAUCACCACUGCUGGAGAGAGAGCACAGGUGACUGUGCCACCAGCGCGUGAGGGGGGAGACGAUUUCAUUGACUAGCAGUUUGAUCAGCAAUAUUCUUCCCAACAGUUCUGAGGGGUGAACACUUUCACUGUUUUUUGUUGUUGUUGUUGUUGUUGUUGUUUGUUUUUGUUUUCAUAGACGGAGGAACUAAAGCUCAGAGGGAUUCUGUGAGUUCCCAGGUCACACUGUUUAACUAAAGAUCCCAAUCUGUCUCUAGCAAAUCCUCAACUGCCUCUCUGGGUCACUGAGGGGACCCCAGUCUAAAGUGGUAAACAACUCCUUGCUAAGUGAAUUAGCAGAGCGAGUGUUCAGCUAUACCCAGCUUGCCUCCCUGUGGGUGCCAAGCAAGCAUGACCCAGCCUUGCAGCUCCCUCACAAUGGGAACUCUGUGCCAACAAGGGAAGAAAUGGCAAGUCUGUACCUGAGGCACAUGUGAGGCUUGCCCUGAGCUUAAUUCCCAUGAAACUUUAUCUUAUGGGAUUCAAAGAAAAACCAAAGGAAAUUACAAAACCUUUCCAAGGCUCUAAGCUUCAGAGCCUUUAUGCCAAAGGCCCAUUUCACUCCUUCCUUCCUCCUGCAUGGGUAGACCUCAUUCGUAGAAGGCCACUGUCAUCCUGGCGAUGUGGACCCUGGUCUUCAGGCCUUUCCUUACCAGUGAUAACAGGACUGAAGGGCUAUCUGGGGCCACCAACCCCCUGAGACAGCUGUUCCACCUAGAGAAGCACUCUUCAGGCCUGGCUUUGGGCCCGUGGUCACCAUGGCGAGGCUGGAAUAGAGCCUCUUAGGCCCCAAAGUUGUCCAAACCAAUAAAAAAGUCAAUUUUCAAGUAGAGGCAACUCAAUUAUUCAUAGACUAAUGGUUCACUUUGUAGAUUUUCCUUUUUUUUCGCCUCUUUGCUACCCGUCUCUUUGCCAGCUGCCUUUGGCUCCCCUCCCUGAAACACUGGAGAGGAGGUAGGCAGGAGAAGACAGAUCGAUCAGUGUUGGAGCCUGUUAGGAAUCAUAGCUGGUUUAAGAACAGGUUGGGUGGAUCUUUUAUAUUCUUGCUAAUCCCAUUCCCACUUACCAUGUGCAGUAGAUAUCCAUGUUCAGUUCUCUGAGCCCCUCUGAUUUGCUAAUUCUUGCCAGGAGAAGAAACAGAAAGAAAAAAGUGCACUCACCCAGAGCCAGCAGAGUCCCAGGCUGAGACUAGUUGGGUUGAGAAAGCAGCUUCACCCGACAUCCUGUUCUAUGGGCCUGGGGCCCCCGUGUAUAUUUAUUUACUUGGCAUCUUUCAAAAGAUCAUCUCUAUGGUAAAUGGCAGAAACUGGGUUUUGAGAAAAGCAGAACUCUUGGGUUUCCUUGUUUAAACAGUUAUGUUCCCAAGUCAAACGAAAUAUGCAAACUACUUAAAAAUAUAAUUCACAUACUAUAGCAGUGGUAUGCUCUUUCCCAG